GGGCGAUGUUUGAUCAUGGCUCAGGAUAAACGCUGGCGGCGUGCCUAACACAUGCAAGUCGAACGCUCUGAGUAAUCAGAGAGUGGCGGACGGGUGAGUAACACGUGGGUCAUCUACCCCGAGGUGAGGAAUACCGGCGAGAAAUCGCCGACAAUACCGCAUAUGCUUCGUAAGAAGCAAAGUUCGCAAGAACGCCUCAGGAUGAGCCUGCGCUCGAUUAGCUCGUUGGUGAGGUUAAAGCUCACCAAGGCAACGAUCGAUAGCUGGUCUGAGAGGACGAUCAGCCACACUGGGAUUGAGAACGGCCCAGACUCCUACGGGGGGCAGCAGUGAGGAAUUUUCGUCAAUGGGGGCAACCCUGAACGAGCAACGCCGCGUGCAGGAAGAAGGUUUUCGGAUCGUAAACUGCUUUUCUCUGGGACGAGAACGGACGGUACCAGAGGAAUCAGCCUCGGCUAACUACGUGCCAGCAGCCGCGGUAAUA
Molecule: ribosomal RNA, 484 nt
Filed under: uncultured bacterium
Lineage: Bacteria
Description: bacterial SSU rRNA
Rfam family: Bacterial small subunit ribosomal RNA
Source: RNAcentral